Molecule: ribosomal RNA, 468 nt
Filed under: uncultured bacterium
Lineage: Bacteria
Description: partial 16S ribosomal RNA
Rfam family: Bacterial small subunit ribosomal RNA
Source: RNAcentral
GACGAACGCUGGCGGCGUGCUUAACACAUGCAAGUCGAACGGAAAGGCCCUGCUUUUGUGGGGUGCUCGAGUGGCGAACGGGUGAGUAACACGUGAGUAACCUGCCCUUGACUUUGGGAUAACUUCAGGAAACUGGGGCUAAUACCGUAUAGGAGCUCCUGCUGCAUGGUGGGGGUUGGAAAGUUUCGGCGGUUGGGGAUGGACUCGCGGCUUAUCAGCUUGUUGGUGGGGUAGUGGCUUACCAAGGGUUUGACGGGUAGCCGGCCUGAGAGGGUGACCGGCCACAUUGGGACUGAGAUACGGCCCAGACUCCUACGGGAGGCAGCAGUGGGGAAUAUUGCACAAUGGGCGGAAGCCUGAUGCAGCAACGCCGCGUGCGGGAUGACGGCCUUCGGGUUGUAAACCGCUUUCGCCUGUGACGAAGCGUGAGUGACGGUAAUGGGUAAAGAAGCACCGGCUAACUACGUG